RNAcentral lists this ribosomal RNA (465 nucleotides) under Vreelandella stevensii. RNAcentral describes it as "partial 16S ribosomal RNA". It matches the Rfam family "Bacterial small subunit ribosomal RNA", at positions 338 to 795 of the family's 1533-position model. The record is from RNAcentral. Lineage: Bacteria; Pseudomonadati; Pseudomonadota; Gammaproteobacteria; Oceanospirillales; Halomonadaceae.
CCUACGGGAGGCAGCAGUGGGGAAUAUUGGACAAUGGGGGCAACCCUGAUCCAGCCAUGCCGCGUGUGUGAAGAAGGCCCUCGGGUUGUAAAGCACUUUCAGUGAGGAAGAACGCCUGGUGGUUAAUACCCAUCAGGAAAGACAUCACUCACAGAAGAAGCACCGGCUAACUCCGUGCCAGCAGCCGCGGUAAUACGGAGGGUGCGAGCGUUAAUCGGAAUUACUGGGCGUAAAGCGCGCGUAGGUGGCUUGAUAAGCCGGUUGUGAAAGCCCCGGGCUCAACCUGGGAACGGCAUCCGGAACUGGCAAGCUAGAGUGCAGGAGAGGAAGGUAGAAUUCCCGGUGUAGCGGUGAAAUGCGUAGAGAUCGGGAGGAAUACCAGUGGCGAAGGCGGCCUUAUGGACUGACACUGACACUGAGGUGCGAAAGCGUGGGUAGCAAACAGGAUUAGAUACCCGAGUAGUC